Molecule: ribosomal RNA, 503 nt
Filed under: uncultured bacterium
Lineage: Bacteria
Description: partial 16S ribosomal RNA
Rfam family: Bacterial small subunit ribosomal RNA
Source: RNAcentral
AUUGAACGCUGGCGGCAUGCCUUACACAUGCAAGUCGAACGGCAGCAUGGAGAGCUUGCUCUCUGAUGGCGAGUGGCGAACGGGUGAGUAAUGCAUCGGAACGUACCGUGUAAUGGGGAUACCGUAGCGAAAGUAACGCUAAUACCGCAUACGACCUGAGGGGGAAAGCAGGGGAUCGCAAGACCUUGCGUUAUACGAGCGGCCGAUGUCAGAUUAGCGAGUUGGUGAGGUAAAGGCUCACCAAGGCGACGAUCUGUAGCGGGUCUGAGAGGAUGAUCCGCCACACUGGGACUGAGACACGGCCCAGACUCCUACGGGAGGCAGCAGUGGGGAAUUUUGGACAAUGGGGGCAACCCUGAUCCAGCCAUGCCGCGUGAGUGAAGAAGGCCUUCGGGUUGUAAAGCUCUUUCGGCCGGGAAGAAAUCGCACAGGCUAAUACUCUGUGUGGAUGACGGUACCGGCAUAAGAAGCACCGGCUAACUACGUGCCAGCAGCCGCGGUAA